Molecule: ribosomal RNA, 585 nt
Filed under: uncultured bacterium
Lineage: Bacteria
Description: partial 16S ribosomal RNA
Rfam family: Bacterial small subunit ribosomal RNA
Source: RNAcentral
UGGGGAAUUUUGGACAAUGGGGGAAACCCUGAUCCAGCCAUCCCGCGUGUGCGAUGAAGGCCUUCGGGUUGUAAAGCACUUUUGGCAGGAAAGAAACGUCGCGGGUUAAUACCCCGCGAAACUGACGGUACCUGCAGAAUAAGCACCGGCUAACUACGUGCCAGCAGCCGCGGUAAUACGUAGGGUGCAAGCGUUAAUCGGAAUUACUGGGCGUAAAGCGUGCGCAGGCGGUUCGGAAAGAAAGAUGUGAAAUCCCAGAGCUUAACUUUGGAACUGCAUUUUUAACUACCGGGCUAGAGUGUGUCAGAGGGAGGUGGAAUUCCGCGUGUAGCAGUGAAAUGCGUAGAUAUGCGGAGGAACACCGAUGGCGAAGGCAGCCUCCUGGGAUAACACUGACGCUCAUGCACGAAAGCGUGGGGAGCAAACAGGAUUAGAUACCCUGGUAGUCCACGCCCUAAACGAUGUCAACUAGCUGUUGGGGCCUUCGGGCCUUGGUAGCGCAGCUAACGCGUGAAGUUGACCGCCUGGGGAGUACGGUCGCAAGAUUAAACUCAAAUGAAUUGACGGGGUCAUAGCUGUUUUCCU